Molecule: long non-coding RNA, 681 nt
Filed under: Gallus gallus (chicken)
Lineage: Eukaryota; Metazoa; Chordata; Aves; Galliformes; Phasianidae
Description: long non-coding RNA NONGGAT005725
Source: RNAcentral
AUUCAUACUCUUUAUGUAGCCUCAUAAGGACAGAAACAAGAAUAUCUUUCAAGAGGCUGUGUGUUACAUUACUGUAUGGGAACUGCUGAGUCAUGGCCUGAACCACUGAUUGAUCACCUGUGAAAAGGACUGGAUCAGCCCUGGGAGCACAGGGUUUCCAAGAAGGCAAUGUAAAGGAUAUCCAACGUCAACAAGUGCUUUUGUUGCCAAUGCCUACUGCAGAGGAGGGUGAGGAGGCUGCCAAGAAGAGUUUCAGAAUGGAUGAAAGCCCUACACCAAACAAAGGUCUAAAGGCUGUGGUCGAGAGCAGGCAUGGACUGACCAACUAUCCACCAUUUUUGCCUCCAAAUAUUUUCCAAGUUUUAACCCUUCAUGAGAGGCUGUUCUUGUCUUGCUCAGGUGAUGUGUCUCACCUGGAAGCUGUCCUGAAAGGAUGAGAAAUCUUGUCAUUCUUUCUUCCUACGCUGAACUAACAAUCAAGACACGUGAGCUUUGCAUGUUACAUGCUUUACUUUAGGGUCUCUUGGUUCUCUGGUACUGGUAUCACUAGUACUGACUUCUGACUUACCUGGAUCAUGAAAAGCUUCCUUUUGAUUUACUGAGCACAAAAAUCUAAAAAUAAAAUCCUGUUUCCUCAACUAGUGAUAGCCAGCGUUGGACUUCGCAAUUCAGAAAACUUCA